Molecule: ribosomal RNA, 2101 nt
Filed under: uncultured fungus
Lineage: Eukaryota; Fungi
Description: bacterial SSU rRNA
Rfam family: Eukaryotic large subunit ribosomal RNA (bases 1078-2101)
Source: RNAcentral
GUCUGUGAUGCCCUUAGAUGUUCUGGGCCGCACGCGCGCUACACUGAUGAAGUCAACGAGUAAUUUUUUCCUUGGCCGGAAGGUCCGGGUAAUCUUUUGAAACUUCAUCGUGCUGGGGAUAGUCCAUUGCAAUUAUUGGACUUCAACGAGGAAUUCCUAGUAAGCGCGAGUCAUCAGCUCGCGUUGAUUACGUCCCUGCCCUUUGUACACACCGCCCGUCGCUACUACCGAUUGAACGUCUUAGUGAGACCUCCGGAUUGAUUCCAGCUGGCUGGCAACGGCCACGCAGGAUUGUUGAAAAGUUGGUCAAACUUGGUCGUUUAGAGGAAGUAAAAGUCGUAACAAGGUUUCCGUAGGUGAACCUGCGGAAGGAUCAUUAUUAAAACGUUCGUUUACGGGAUCGAACACUAAAAUAUAACCCCAGUUGGCGAUAGACUUGGUUUGGGGUCCGAAGCGAGGAGAUGCCGGGGUGAUGGUGCUCGUGCCGCGAUACUAACGCGAGACGAACACCAUCAUCCGCACAGUCUCUGAGCGAUAACGACUCUUUCCAGCUCUUUGCCGGCGCAAAACAUACUUCAAACUUUUAUCGUCUGAAUCUUUUUGUUGUUCUUUUUGAACUCCAAUAUGAAUUAUUAAACAACUUUUAACAACGGAUCUCUUGGCUCUCGCAUCGAUGAAGAACGCAGCGAAAUGCGAUAAGUAAUGUGAAUUGCAGAAUUCAGUGAAUCAUCGAAUCUUUGAACGCACAUUGCGCUCCUCGGCAUUCCGUGGAGCAUGCCUGUUUGAUGCGCCCGAGAAAAAACUGACCGGCUUGUCCGGACCGUUUUUGAGCUCUCUCACAAUGUGAGUAGUUCAAAGUCACAGAUUUCAAGAGGUCGCUGCUUUUAGAGGACGGCUCAAUGACUUUGUCAGCCGGCGUCAAAAGAUAUAUCUCCCAUGUGAACUGAUAGUAUAGUACACUUUUCAGAUAAUGUGGGGGCUUUUGACCCACCGACGGACGGAGGUAUUGAACACGAAUCUGGGCUAAGCGCAUCUUUAUUGUGUGGAUCAUCCCUUUGGGCUGAUUCCUCAGAAAUUUUGCAUCAAAUCAGGUAGGGUUACCCGCUGAACUUAAGCAUAUUAAUAAGCGGAGGAAAAGAAACUAACAAGGAUUCCCUCAGUAACGGCGAGUGAAGCGGGAAGAGCACAAUUUUGAAAUCCGGGUGCUUUUUGCACUUCGGAGUUGUAGCCUACAGACGUGUUUUCUGUCGCACCUUUGGGUUAAAUCCCUUGGAAUGGGGUAUCAUAGAGGGUGAAAAUCCCGUCUCUGACCAAAGGCUUAAUGCGGCUCUGUGAUGCAUGUUCGAAGAGUCGCGUUGUUUGGGAAUGCAGCGCAAAUUGGGUGGUAAAUUUCAUCCAAAGCUAAAUAUUGGCGAGAGACCGAUAGCGAACAAGUACCGUGAGGGAAAGAUGAAAAGAACUUUGAAAAGAGAGUUAAACAGUACGUGAAAUUGUUAAAAGGGAAACGUAUGGAAAUCAGAUUUAUGCUGCCUUUCACAACGGUUUCAUUAUGAUGCGGACUAGGGCGACCUCUGUGGUCGUUUUAGCGCCUGUUUUAUUAUGGAUCCGAGAUGUGUUUGGUGGAUGUCGACGUCAGUUUGCCGGCCGUCAAUUCAAUCGUACGUUGCGACCCGUUCACAUUUAUGUGCUCGAGUGCUGUGCUGAUUGGGCGGUGGUGGACUGAGGACCGCAGCGUCGUCCGAUUUGUUUCGGACGCUACGGGGUUACCCGUGAACGCUUAGGACCGUCCGACUUAAUGGUUUUAUACGACCCGUCUUGAAACACGGACCAAGGAGUCUAACAUAUAUGCGAGUAUUUGGGUGGUAAAACCCAUGUGCGUAAUGAAAGUGAACUUUAGGUGGGAUCCGCAAGGUGCACCAUCAACCGAUCUUGAAAUUCGUUGGAUAGAUUUGAGUCAGAGCAUAUCUGUUGGGACCCGAAAGAUGGUGAACUAUACUUGAAUAGGGUGAAGUCAGAGGAAACUCUGAUGGAGGCUCGUAGCGAUUCUGACGUGCAAAUCGAUCGUCAAAUUUGAGUAUAGGGGCGAAAGACUAAUCGAACC